This 790-nucleotide ribosomal RNA is filed under the name uncultured Verrucomicrobiota bacterium. RNAcentral's name for it is "bacterial SSU rRNA". It matches the Rfam family "Bacterial small subunit ribosomal RNA", at positions 89 to 851 of the family's 1533-position model. The record is from RNAcentral. Lineage: Bacteria; Pseudomonadati; Verrucomicrobiota.
GUCGGAGCGGCGCAAGGGUGCGUAACACGUGGGUAAUCUGCCAUGAAGUUUGGAAUAACUUGCUGAAAGGCGAGCUAAUGCCGGAUGUAAAAGCUGAGAGGCAUCUCUUGGUUUUCAAAGCUGGGGACCGUAAGGCCUGGCGCUUCAUGAUGAACCCGCGGCCUAUCAGCUAGUUAGGAGAGGUAACGGCCCACCAAGGCUAAGACAGGGUAGCUGGUCUAGAGAGGACGACCAGCCACACUGGAACUGAGACACGGACCAGACACCUACGGGUGGCAGCAGUACGAGAAUAUUACACAAUGGGCGCAAGCCUGAUGGAGCGACGCCGCUUGGGGGAUGAAUGGCUUUCGGCCCGUUAACCCUGUUCAUUUGCGAUCAACCGUUAUUGUUUAAGAGAUGAUUACCUGAUAGUAGCGAAAGAGGAAGGGACGGCUUAACUUCUGUGCCAGCAGCCGCGGUAAUACAGAGGUCCCAAGCGUUGUUCGGAUUCACUGGGCGUAAAGGGUGCGUAGGUGGCGAAGUAAGUCGGAUGUGAAAUCUCCGAGCUCAACUCGGAAACUGCAUUGGAAACUACUUUGCUUGAGGGUUGGAGGGGGGACUGGAAUACUUGGUGUAGCAGUGAAAUGCGUAGAUAUCAAGUGGAACACCAGUGGCGAAGGCGAGUCCCUGGACAACUCCUGACACUGAGGCACGAAAGCUAGGGGAGCAAACAGGAUUAGAUACCCUGGUAGUCCUAGCCGUAAACGGUGCACGUUUGCUGUAAAAGGAAUCGACCCCUUUUGUGGCGUAG